GCCUAAUACAUGCAAGUCGUAUGCCCGCAAGGGCAUGGCGCACGGGUGAGUAACGCGUAGGAAUCUGCCUUAGAGUGGGGGAUAACCUGGGGAAACUCGGGCUAAUACCGCAUAAUGCUGAGAAGUCAAAGGAGCAAUUCGCUCUAAGAUGAGCCUGCGUAUGAUUAGCUAGUUGGUGGGGUAAUGGCCUACCAAAGCAAUGAUCGUUAGCUGGUCUGAGAGGAUGACCAGCCACAAUGGAACUGAUACACGGUCCAUACUCCUACGGGAGGCAGCAGUAGGGAAUUUUGCGCAAUGGGCGAAAGCCUGACGCAGCAAUGCCGCGUGUAGGAAGAAGCAUCUUGGUGUGUAAACUACUGUCGGCGGGGAAAAAGAAAGUGAUUGUACCCGCAAAGGAAGCAUCGGCUAACUACGUGCCAGCAGCCGCGGUAAGACGUAGGAUGCAAGCGUUGUCCGGAUUUAUUGGGCGUAAAGAGGUCGUAGGUGGCAAUGUAAGUUUUAUGUGAAAUAAUAGGGCUCAACCCUGUUCCCGCAUAAAAUACUGCAUUGAUGGAGCAAGGUAGGGGUUAGAGGAAUUCCUGGUGUAGCGGUGAAAUGCGUAGAUAUCAGGAGGAACACCGGUGGCGAAAGCGUCUGACUGGGCCUUUGCUGACACUGAGGAACGAAAGCUAGGGGAGCGAAAGGGAUUAGAUACCCCUGUAGUCCUAGCUGUAAACGAUGGAUACUAGUUGUUGCAGGAAUCGACCCCCGCGGUGACGAAGUUAACGCAUUAAGUAUCCCGCCUGGGAAGUACGUUCGCAAGAAUGAAACUCAAAGGAAUUGACGGGGACCCGCACAAGCGGUGGAACAUGUGGUUCAACUCGAUGCAACGCGAAGAACCUUACCUGGCCUUGACAUGCCAAGAACCUAGUAGAAAUAUUGGGGUGCCUUCGGGAGCUUGGACACAGGUGCUGCAUGGUUGUCGUCAGCUCGUGUCGUGAGAUGUUGGGUUAAGUCCCGCAACGAGCGCAACCCUUGUUGUUUGUUGCUAUUUAGUAGCAAUACUGAAGUACUCUGACAAGACUGCCCCGGUUAACGGGGAGGAAGGCGGGGACGACGUCAAAUCAUCAUGGCCCUUACGGCCAGGGCAACACACGUGUUACAAUGGGCGCCACAACGGGCAGCAACUAGGCAACUAGAAGCAAAUCCCUAAAAAGCGCUCUCAGUUCGGAUCGUAGGCUGCAACUUGCCUACGUGAAGUCGGAAUCGCUAGUAAAUGCGGAUCAGCACGCCGCAUUGAAUACGUUCCCGGGUCUUGCACACACCGCCCGUCAC
Molecule: ribosomal RNA, 1314 nt
Filed under: uncultured bacterium
Lineage: Bacteria
Description: bacterial SSU rRNA
Rfam family: Bacterial small subunit ribosomal RNA
Source: RNAcentral